UUGAACGCUGGCGGCAGGCCUAACCCAUGCAAGUCGCGCGGAUGAAGGGAGCUUGCUCCUGGAUUCAGCGGCGGACGGGUGAGUAAUGCCUAGGAAUCUGCCUGGUAGUGGGGGAUAACGUCCGGAAACGGGCGCUAAUACCGCAUACGUCCUGAGGGAGAAAGUGGGGGAUCUUCGGACCUCACGCUAUCAGAUGAGCCUAGGUCGGAUUAGCUAGUUGGUGGGGUAAAGGCCUACCAAGGCGACGAUCCGUAACUGGUCUGAGAGGAUGAUCAGUCACACUGGAACUGAGACACGGUCCAGACUCCUACGGGAGGCAGCAGUGGGGAAUAUUGGACAAUGGGCGAAAGCCUGAUCCAGCCAUGCCGCGUGUGUGAAGAAGGUCUUCGGAUUGUAAAGCACUUUAAGUUGGCAGGAAGGGCAGUAAGUUAAUACCUUGCUGUUUUGACGUUACCAACAGAAUAAGCACCGGCUAACUUCGUG
This 483-nucleotide ribosomal RNA is filed under the name uncultured bacterium. Its description in RNAcentral is "partial 16S ribosomal RNA". It matches the Rfam family "Bacterial small subunit ribosomal RNA", at positions 30 to 507 of the family's 1533-position model. The record is from RNAcentral.